Molecule: ribosomal RNA, 496 nt
Filed under: uncultured bacterium
Lineage: Bacteria
Description: partial 16S ribosomal RNA
Rfam family: Bacterial small subunit ribosomal RNA
Source: RNAcentral
AUUGAACGCUGGCGGAAUGCUUUACACAUGCAAGUCGAACGGUAGAGGGGGCAACCCCUCGAGAGUGGCGAACGGGUGAGUAAUAUAUCGGAACGUGCCCAGUCGUGGGGGAUAACGUAGCGAAAGUUACGCUAAUACCGCAUACGAUCUAAGGAUGAAGGCGGGGGAUCGCAAGACCUCGCGCGACUGGAGCGGCCGAUAUCAGAUUAGGUAGUUGGGGGGGUAAAGGCUCAACGAGCCAACGAUCUGUAGCUGGUCUGAGAGGACGACCAGCCACACUGGAACUGAGACACGGUCCAGACUCCUACGGUAGGCAGCAGUGGGGAAUUUUGGACAAUGGACGCAAGUCUGAUCCAGCCAUUCCGCGUGCAGGAUGAAGGCCCUCGGGUUGUAAACUGCUUUUGUACGGAACGAAAAGGUCUCUCUUAAUACGGGGGGCUCAUGACGGUACCGUAAGAAUAAGCACCGGCUAACUACGUGCCAGCCGCCGCCGUAA